Peromyscus eremicus (cactus mouse) is the source of this 544-nucleotide long non-coding RNA. RefSeq lists it as uncharacterized. Lineage: Eukaryota; Metazoa; Chordata; Mammalia; Rodentia; Cricetidae. The transcript has 3 exons. The record is from RefSeq and is a predicted model, not a curated record.
AGCAAACGCUGUAUUAAUGCAGUGGUGUUACCUCUUGUCUUCCUAGUCCUCACAGAUGCGUAUUAGAAAUGGAACUGAAUAAAAUCAUCCUCCGCCCAGGUCACACUGAAAACCUUCCUCAGCACUUCAUCCUUCUCGGACGACAGUUCAGAGGACAUGUUUAGCCUCUCUGCACAGGACAGGUUCUCCCUCUCGGAGAUGCACACAGCUUUGAAGUGCCUCAGCCAAGUCAUCAGUGCACAAGUUUUGAAGGCAGACCAUCAUACUCUACCAUUCUACCCUUCCUGGUAGCAAAGGAGAUUGUCUGAGAAGCUGCAAGUCUGACAAUCAAUGCAUACUCAAUAAAUAUUUCUCUCGAGCUGCAUAAAAAUACAAUCUAUUUCCAGAACCUCAACAGUCCAAUGAUGGCAAAAGCCACAUCAGCUAUGUAGGGCCACUCCUUUUCUAAGAGAUUCUGAAUUAGUGCCGGUUGAGACAUUUUGCCUGACCUUUCUUUUUAAAGGCUCCAGACAGAGUUAGUCUUAUCUGUCAGCACAUUACUUCA